This is a long non-coding RNA of Daucus carota subsp. sativus, 624 nucleotides long. RefSeq lists it as uncharacterized. NCBI's taxonomy places the organism in Eukaryota, Viridiplantae, Streptophyta, Magnoliopsida, Apiales, Apiaceae. The record is from RefSeq and is a predicted model, not a curated record. The transcript has 2 exons.
AGCCUCUGCCUCUCUCUCUCUCUGGGCUCAAAAAAGGCUACGGGUCGAUUAUAGUUGCUAUCUGUUUAACAAACAUGCAAUCUGAUAUGCAUAUGAAACCAACCUUUUCAAAGACUAUGAGCAAUAUAAACCUUGGUAACAUGGCUUCUUCCUCGUAUUCGUUCCAUGAGUUGUUAGCAAUACCUUCUUCCAAGCUGCACUGCAAGAACCUGCGUCGAUCCUCGUUGAAAGUCAUCAGAGCUCAAAACUAUAAAGAUGAAGGGAGAUCAAGUAAUAUGGUAGAUGCAAAUCUGAGAGUCCUUAAAGAAAGAAUAGAACAAGUGAGAAAUAAGGAGAGACUAGAAAGAUGUUGCACAAGUGAGCAGGGCUGGAAUUAUACACCUGUUUACUCUUCUCAUUACAAAAAACAAGAUGUGUUGUCCCAGUGUUAUGAUCUCAUAGGCUUGGUUUUCGGAACUGCUGGUCUUGCUGUUCUUUUCGGAACUUUGGUUUUGUGCAUGUUUUCCCUUCUCCUUCAUCUAAAACAGUGAUAGUCCUGUCUUUUUAACUGAUUAUCACGCGAAGAUAUAUGUAUUUCUUCGUCGGUUUAUUUUCAUGUAAUAAGAGCCUUUUUACUUUCUUCUA